Molecule: ribosomal RNA, 905 nt
Filed under: Usnea florida
Lineage: Eukaryota; Fungi; Ascomycota; Lecanoromycetes; Lecanorales; Parmeliaceae
Description: eukaryotic LSU rRNA
Rfam family: Eukaryotic large subunit ribosomal RNA
Source: RNAcentral
AUUGACCUCGGAUCAGGUAGGGAUACCCGCUGAACUUAAGCAUAUCAAUAAGCGGAGGAAAAGAAACCAACAGGGAUUGCCUCAGUAACGGCGAGUGAAGCGGCAACAGCUCAAAUUUGAAAUCUGGCCCCGUCGGCCUCCGAGUUGUAAUUUGUAGAGAGUGUUUCGGGUGAGACCACGGUCUAAGUCUAUUGGAACAUGGCGUCAUAGAGGGUGAGAAUCCCGUAUGUGACCGUGGCUCGAGCCCAUGUGAAGCCUCUUCGACGAGUCGAGUUGUUUGGGAAUGCAGCUCAAAAUGGGUGGUAAAUUUCAUCUAAAGCUAAAUACUGGCUGGAGACCGAUAGCGCACAAGUAGAGUGAUCGAAAGAUGAAAAGCACUUUGGAAAGAGAGUCAAAAAGUACGUGAAAUUGUUGAAAGGGAAGCGCUUGCAACCAGACCUGUCCGUAGGUGAUCAACCGCUGUUCUCAGUGGUGCACUCGCUCUGCGAUCAGGCCAGCAUCGGUUCCGGCGGUCGGAUAAAGGCCUUGGGAAUGUAGCUGCCUUCGGGGAGUCUUAUAGCCCUCGGUGCAAUGCGGCCAGCCGGGACCGAGGACCGCGCUUCGGCUAGGAUGCUGGCGUAAUGGUUGUAAGCGACCCGUCUUGAAACACGGACCAAGGAGUCUAACAUCUAUGCGAGUGUUUGGGUGUUAAACCCAUGCGCGGAAUGAAAGUGAACGGAGGUGAGAACCCUUUAGGGCGCAUCAUCGACCGAUCCAGAUGUCUUCGGAUGGAUUUGAGUAUGAGCAUAGCUGUUGGGACCCGAAAGAUGGUGAACUAUGCCUGAAUAGGGUGAAGCCAGAGGAAACUCUGGUGGAGGCUCGCAGCGGUUCUGACGUGCAAAUCGAUCGUCAAAUUUGGGUAUAGG